GGCAACCUCGGGCAGUGGCGGACGGGUGAGUAACGCGUAGGAAUCUGUCUUUGGAUGGGGGACAACCGUGGGAAACUACGGCUAAUACCGCAUGAUGCCUGAGGGCCAAAGCUCGCGAGAGCGUCUGAAGAGGAGCCUGCGUCUGAUUAGGUAGUUGGUGGGGUAAAGGCCUACCAAGCCUGCGAUCAGUAGCUGGUCUGAGAGGAUGAUCAGCCACAUUGGGACUGAGACACGGCCCAAACUCCUACGGGAGGCAGCAGUGGGGAAUAUUGGACAAUGGGCGCAAGCCUGAUCCAGCAAUGCCGCGUGGGUGAAGAAGGUUUUCGGAUUGUAAAGCCCUUUUGGCGGGGACGAUGAUGACGGUACCCGCAGAAUAAGCUCCGGCUAACUUCGUGCCAGCAGCCGCGGUAAUACGAAGGGGGCUAGCGUUGCUCGGAAUGACUGGGCGUAAAGGGCGCGUAGGCGGCUUGUACAGUCAGGCGUGAAAUUCCUGGGCUCAACCUGGGGACUGCGUCUGAUACGUGCUGGCUUGAGUAUGGAAGAGGGUCGUGGAAUUUCCAGUGUAGAGGUGAAAUUCGUAGAUAUUGGAAAGAACACCGGUGGCGAAGGCGGCGACCUGGUCCAUUACUGACGCUGAGGCGCGAAAGCGUGGGGAGCAAACAGGAUUAGAUACCCUGGUAGUCCACGCUGUAAACGAUGUGUGCUGGAUGUUGGGGUGCUUAGCACUUCAGUGUCGUAGCUAACGCGGUAAGCACACCG
RNAcentral lists this ribosomal RNA (759 nucleotides) under Acidiphilium sp. RNAcentral describes it as "bacterial SSU rRNA". It matches the Rfam family "Bacterial small subunit ribosomal RNA", at positions 78 to 871 of the family's 1533-position model. Lineage: Bacteria; Pseudomonadati; Pseudomonadota; Alphaproteobacteria; Acetobacterales; Acidocellaceae. The record is from RNAcentral.